Leopardus geoffroyi (Geoffroy's cat) is the source of this 1261-nucleotide long non-coding RNA. RefSeq lists it as uncharacterized. The record is from RefSeq and is a predicted model, not a curated record. Lineage: Eukaryota; Metazoa; Chordata; Mammalia; Carnivora; Felidae. The transcript has 2 exons.
AUGUUUGCUCUUCCAGAUUAAGAAAACUUUCUCUUAAGUUAUCCAUGAUACACAGAAAUAGGAUAAAAUAUUCUUCUGUGAACAAAUGGAAAUGUUUGACUUUUUUCUGUACCUGAGCCCUCUGAAACUGAAAAAGUGUCAGUGAGUAUUCUUUCUUUGGCAAUUACAUUUAUUUGCAUUAAGUUCAAUAAGAACCUCUUCUUGUAACUGGAAACCACUGGAAACACUGGUUGUCCUACCAAGUCUUUGACUGAAGUGUCGUAUUUGAGAGCAACAUGCAUAGACUCAGAUAUGACCAGACAGCUUUACGGAACUAAGGUUGACUUUAUGAAACAUGGAGCCAUAAAGCCCCUUGGAAAUGUUGGCCUGAUACCUUGCUUCCGGAGUUCCCAGUAGCCUUACCAGGUGAGUAAAGAAUGUCCCUUCCUGGCAGGUGCAAGAACCUCAGGAUGUUUGGGGACCUCAUGAAGAGGAACUUCCCCAAAUCUACAGGGUCAAGACUCCUUCCCUGCCAUAACUUCCAGCCGACAGAUGAUCCUUUCUACUCAAGGGAGGUUCACAUAUGUUGUCCACCUUGGAAUGGCUGCCUCUGCCUUUGGUAACUCGUAGAGAUAGAGAUAGGACACAUAUUUUCCAACUGACCAGUGUUGACCCAUAGGUAGGGACAUCUCUACACCCCUAUUCAAUAGGAAGAAGCUACAGAAGAUGAGACUGUAAUAGGUCAACUUAUAAGAUAUCAGAAAGCUUAUUGUAUAUAAGUUUGGCUUAAACUCACCUUUCAUGAAUAGUCGAGAUAAAAGGCUUAUGUAGUUCCCUAUUAGGGUGAUCGGAAAUUACUAACCGCCCUAUCUCACUUCUGUGACCUUGCCAGCUUGCUAAAUAGAUAACUUGGGAUGGAAAACGCUUCCCCUCCCCCUCUACCAAGAUCUGGCCUGGGCAAGACCAACAUGUAAAACGUCACAUACUCACCUACGGCAUCUCAGGUGUCCAACUAUGAUUGGUCAUUUUAAACCCUCCUAGGACAAAGACUUUUAAAUUGAUAGGUUCCCGCCAAAACUAACGUCUGUGUGUCACAAUAUAAUUGGCUACCAUGAAAUGCUGUAAAUUGUAAUUGGUUAACCAAAUAAUGGCGUAUUCUGACUUGCUAAAAUCCAUAUAAGCUCACGGCUGCCUUUGUUAGGGGCCAUUCUCUGCACUUUUCUCCUUAAGAUCAGGAGAUCAGGUUUGGCCCGACCGUGAAUAAAAUCUUGCCUCGCUUCUA